Molecule: ribosomal RNA, 427 nt
Filed under: uncultured bacterium
Lineage: Bacteria
Description: bacterial SSU rRNA
Rfam family: Bacterial small subunit ribosomal RNA
Source: RNAcentral
UGGGGAAUUUUGGGCAAUGGGCGCAAGCCUGAUCCAGCAAUGCCGCGUGCAGGAUGAAGGCCUUCGGGUUGUAAACUGCUUUUGUACGGAACGAAAAGCUUCUGGUUAAUACCUGGGAGUCAUGACGGUACCGUAAGAAUAAGCACCGGCUAACUACGUGCCAGCAGCCGCGGUAAUACGUAGGGUGCGGGCGUUAAUCGGAAUUACUGGGCGUAAAGCGUGCGCGGGCGGUUAUGUAAGACAGAGGUGAAAUCCCCGGGCUCAACCUGGGAACUGCCUUUGUGACUGCAUGGCUAGAGUGCGGCAGAGGGGGAUGGAAUUCCGCGUGUAGCAGUGAAAUGCGUAGAUAUGCGGAGGAACACCGAUGGCGAAGGCAAUCACCUGGGCCUGCACUGACGCUCAUGCACGAAAGCGUGGGGAGCAAACA